AAAUUGAAGAGUUUGAUCAUGGCUCAGAUUGAACGCUGGCGGCAGGCCUAACACAUGCAAGUCGAACGGUAACAGGAAGCAGCUUGCUGCUUCGCUGACGAGUGGCGGACGGGUGAGUAAUGUCUGGGAAACUGCCUGAUGGAGGGGGAUAACUACUGGAAACGGUGGCUAAUACCGCAUAACGUCGCAAGACCAAAGAGGGGGACCUUCGGGCCUCUUGCCAUCAGAUGUGCCCAGAUGGGAUUAGCUUGUUGGUGAGGUAACGGCUCACCAAGGCGACGAUCCCUAGCUGGUCUGAGAGGAUGACCAGCCACACUGGAACUGAGACACGGUCCAGACUCCUACGGGAGGCAGCAGUGGGGAAUAUUGCACAAUGGGCGCAAGCCUGAUGCAGCCAUGCCGCGUGUAUGAAGAAGGCCUUCGGGUUGUAAAGUACUUUCAGCGGGGAGGAAGGUGUUGUGGUUAAUAACCGCAGCAAUUGACGUUACCCGCAGAAGAAGCACCGGCUAACUCCGUGCCAGCAGCCGCGGUAAUACGGAGGGUGCAAGCGUUAAUCGGAAUUACUGGGCGUAAAG
Molecule: ribosomal RNA, 575 nt
Filed under: Salmonella enterica subsp. enterica serovar Agona str. SH11G1113
Lineage: Bacteria; Pseudomonadati; Pseudomonadota; Gammaproteobacteria; Enterobacterales; Enterobacteriaceae
Description: bacterial SSU rRNA
Rfam family: Bacterial small subunit ribosomal RNA
Source: RNAcentral